RNAcentral lists this ribosomal RNA (818 nucleotides) under Brachybacterium paraconglomeratum. RNAcentral describes it as "bacterial SSU rRNA". It matches the Rfam family "Bacterial small subunit ribosomal RNA", at positions 372 to 1204 of the family's 1533-position model. The record is from RNAcentral. Lineage: Bacteria; Bacillati; Actinomycetota; Actinomycetes; Micrococcales; Dermabacteraceae.
UGGGCGAAGCCUGAUGCAGCGACGCCGCGUGGGGGAUGACGGCCUUCGGGUUGUAAACCCCUUUCAGUAGGGAAGAAGCGAGAGUGACGGUACCUGCAGAAGAAGCGCCGGCUAACUACGUGCCAGCAGCCGCGGUAAUACGUAGGGCGCAAGCGUUGUCCGGAAUUAUUGGGCGUAAAGAGCUUGUAGGUGGCUUGUCGCGUCUGCCGUGAAAACCCGAGGCUCAACCUCGGGCGUGCGGUGGGUACGGGCAGGCUAGAGUGUGGUAGGGGAGACUGGAACUCCUGGUGUAGCGGUGAAAUGCGCAGAUAUCAGGAAGAACACCGAUGGCGAAGGCAGGUCUCUGGGCCAUUACUGACACUGAGAAGCGAAAGCAUGGGUAGCGAACAGGAUUAGAUACCCUGGUAGUCCAUGCCGUAAACGUUGGGCACUAGGUGUGGGGGACAUUCCACGUUUUCCGCGCCGUAGCUAACGCAUUAAGUGCCCCGCCUGGGGAGUACGGCCGCAAGGCUAAAACUCAAAGGAAUUGACGGGGGCCCGCACAAGCGGCGGAGCAUGCUGAUUAAUUCGAUGCAACGCGAAGAACCUUACCAAGGCUUGACAUGCACUGGACGGCUGCAGAGAUGUGGCUUUCUUUGGACUGGUGCACAGGUGGUGCAUGGUUGUCGUCAGCUCGUGUCGUGAGAUGUUGGGUUAAGUCCCGCAACGAGCGCAACCCUCGUUCUAUGUUGCCAGCACGUAAUGGUGGGGACUCAUAGGAGACUGCCGGGGUCAACUCGGAGGAAGGUGGGGACGACGUCAAAUCAUCAUGCCCCUUA